RNAcentral lists this ribosomal RNA (253 nucleotides) under uncultured bacterium. Its description in RNAcentral is "partial 16S ribosomal RNA". It matches the Rfam family "Bacterial small subunit ribosomal RNA", at positions 524 to 776 of the family's 1533-position model. The record is from RNAcentral.
UACGUAGGGUCCGAGCGUUGUCCGGAAUUAUUGGGCGUAAAGGGCUCGUAGGCGGUUUGUCGCGUCGGGAGUGAAAACUCAGGGCUCAACCCUGAGCGUGCUUCCGAUACGGGCAGACUAGAGGUAUGCAGGGGAGAACGGAAUUCCUGGUGUAGCGGUGGAAUGCGCAGAUAUCAGGAGGAACACCGGUGGCGAAGGCGGUUCUCUGGGCAUUACCUGACGCUGAGGAGCGAAAGUGUGGGGAGCGAACAGG